AAAUAGAGGUGUUAUACAAAAAUAAAUACCCAUUCUUUUUUUUUUUUCUCUUUAGAAUAAGUCUUUUGCAAAAGGCAGCUUGGUCCCUAACUGAUAGGAGAAUGAGUCUCCAAGGGCCUCAGCGAUGGUGAGCUGCUGUUCAGAUGUCCCGGUAGGUCCUGACUCAAAGAUGUGAGCACUGGAGCCGGGGGAUGGAGGUCUCCUCUGGACUGGCAGCAGUCUAGUCUUUCUACCUCUUCCACUGGCACUAGGCCUAGGCAGAACGGGCUUCCAUGGUGAAACAGUGGAUCUCGUCGAGGAUCCAAACUAGAACCUCCCACUUUGUUGCCCAUCACUGGAUGAUGCAGGCCAACGAAGCGCUCUUGAAGGUGUGGAC
Molecule: long non-coding RNA, 376 nt
Filed under: Gallus gallus (chicken)
Lineage: Eukaryota; Metazoa; Chordata; Aves; Galliformes; Phasianidae
Source: RNAcentral